This is a long non-coding RNA of Penaeus chinensis, 357 nucleotides long. RefSeq lists it as uncharacterized. NCBI's taxonomy places the organism in Eukaryota, Metazoa, Arthropoda, Malacostraca, Decapoda, Penaeidae. The record is from RefSeq and is a predicted model, not a curated record. The transcript has 3 exons.
GAUAGUCUCCUCACAGCUGGCUUCUCAUCAUGAAGUUUUUACAUCUAUUCGUGCUUGCCGUCUGCGUGCUCGCAAUGGCUCUGCCUACAUUGGCUUACCCGGAGCCGCAGAGUGCCACUAGCAUUUUCGCAAGGCUCAGAAACGGAGGGAUUUUCCAUCCUGGACUCGUCAAUCCUACUUUGGCCAGGCUCGGCUUACGGGGAUAGACAAGCCUCCCCCCCUCCCUGCCACCCCCGGCUCAUCCUCCAGCCAUCGGCUUACGAGGAUAGACAAGACCUCAUCCUCCAGCCACCCUAAGACCAUCCCUCUAUCCUUGGUCACGCUGAAGGCCCUCGAAUAAACUCAGAUAACUUCGAA